AUGAUAGCCGAGGAGAAGCGGCUGGUGUGGGUCGUCAUGGAGGACUCCGAGAGGGAGUACAAACGUUGCGAGGAGGCGCAGUGGGUGGAUCUUGAGGAGAUGCUGGUGCUCUCAGCCGCCAGGUAUGUAUACGUGUCGGAGCUGGACGUUAAGAAGGAGAUGAAGGAGGAGGUGAUGGAGGACCGGUCGCCCACCCCGGUGUGGAACAAGGCGGUGUACGAGCAGUUGUGGUCGUGGAUGCGGCACUGCUCGACGAUGCCGAGAGUGCGCAACAAGAAGAUCAACACUGAUAGGGUGCUGCACAGGCACCGCACCAUCGCGAAUAAGACGGGGUUCGGGUCAGACAAGAGGUUGUGCAGGCCAGCCCUCCCUGAGAUGCCAGACGAGCUUGUUUUGGAGAUCCUCCUCCGUCUCCCAGUGAGAUCACUCCUCAAGUUCAAGUGUGCAUGCAAGUACUGGCACGGCACCAUCUCAGGCCCAUCCUUCAUCCGGAUGCACCUUGAGCGCUCCGUGUCCAGCCAGCAGCGGCAAUCCUGCUACCUCAUCACCCCGCAUUUGCUGGAUCAUGCCAGCAAUGAUCUAUGGCCGAAGACAUUCUCAAACAACAUCCGCUUCUACAGAUGGCAGCACGAGAGUUGUCAAGCCAGCGCCAGUCUAGUGGACCUGCUUACUUUGCCCGAGAGCCCCCGGCGUAUGCUCGAGCCAUCCUCCUUCUACCGUGGGAAUGUUGGUUUCGGUCGUGACCCUUGCACAAACAAGUACAAGGUAGUUCAGUGCUUUCGCCAUUCCACGGAUAAUGGCCUAGGGAGCUACAGCACUGGAAUGGAGGUUUUUACAAUAGGAAGCAACAUGAACAGCGGUUCUGCAGCAUGGAGGGACGCCAUGCCACCGUACCCUGUUGGUAAUUGGAGAAACGCGACUUUCUUCAAGGGGUCUCUGUUCUGGAUCCUCCGCAAGCUCCGUCAGAGGGAGCCCCCGGAGACCCGUCUACUUUGGUUCUGCCUGCAGCCUGAAACGUUUAGCUUCACCCCGCACCCUCCGUGCCCUGCGCUUGACCACCAGAACUUUGCCAUGAGUGAACUAGAUGGUGAACUGUGCCUUGCUCAAUAUGAAUCUUCACAUCGGGUCGUGAUCUGGAUGACGAGCGAUGGUGAGGAUCCGAAAUGGAACCGGCGAUACGUCCUUGAUGUGGAGCCAUGCGUCACAAUAGCUAUUUCGCAGUCUGGACUUCUUUUGAAGAGAGUGAACCAUAUCAUCUCACGGUACAACUUCCAGAAUCAGAGCGUGGAGGAUGUGGCUGGGUUGGAAGCUCUGGGGUACCAUGGACCCGGGGCGCGUACUGUGGAGUACAAGGGAGCAAACUUGUUCUUCUUCGAUAUGAUUCCGUACACAGAAAGUCUCAUUCCCCUACACCAUGCAAGAUGA
RNAcentral lists this ribosomal RNA (1425 nucleotides) under Triticum aestivum (bread wheat). RNAcentral describes it as "partial small subunit ribosomal RNA". The record is from RNAcentral. Lineage: Eukaryota; Viridiplantae; Streptophyta; Magnoliopsida; Poales; Poaceae.